UUCGUGGCUUCUGCCUUAUAUUUAUUCUUCCCAUGGGCAUGGCCUCCAGAGAGAGACAAAACGCGAUCUGAAAAAUCCACAUCAAUCUCCAGCUGCUGGCCGUAGGCGGUAUAGCAUACAGUCCAGACAGUCAGAUAGAGAGGCACCUCAUCAGUCGUGCAUUAUUGCCCUCUUGUACGUACACGGCAGUUUUAAAUUGAAAAAAUAUGGCCGAGAACGAGGGUAGGUUCCGCUGGGAUUCGAAUCUGGACACUUUUUUUUGCAGGAGCUGCGUUCAAUUGCUUGACGACGGGCUAAUAACCCAGAGGCAGCCCUCCUUACAUGACGAGGCUCUGGAAUACUUGUCGCAAAAAUUUUCUACGGUGAAUUCAACAGUUUCAAAAAAGACUCUGAUGAACAAAUGGAACUGUAUGAAACAGCUGUAUGACAGUUAUGUUCUGUUUCGUAUCCACUCGUCAAAUAUGGGAGAGUUGAAAAGCCGCAGGAUGUACAUAAAAAAGACAAAGAAAUGUGCGAACGUAUUUAAGCAUAUGAUAAAUGAACCACCUAAGAAUUUGGAUCUACUUAAAAGAUUGUUCCACGACGAAGAUCAAGGGACACCGCCAUCAUCCCCGCCACACCCAUCGUUCGAGCCACAGUCAUCGUUCAUGCCAGAGUCGUCGUCCCCGCCACAGUCGUCAUCAUUCAUGCCAGGGUCGUCGUCCCCGCCACAGUCGUCAGUGUCAUCCUCGUAACUUUCCUUUAUUUUAUGGAUAGGGUAUGCAUGUAUAUCCUACCACAUUUAGGGACGAAUGUUGAUACCCGAAUUGUUAGGACAAGUUUAAUAAUAUUUUUAAAUUAUAUAUAUGUAUGAAAUUUGAUGUCAAUCUUUUAUCAAGCACAUUAUUACAG
RNAcentral lists this unclassified non-coding RNA (891 nucleotides) under Zea mays. RNAcentral's name for it is "misc RNA Zm00001eb244800". Lineage: Eukaryota; Viridiplantae; Streptophyta; Magnoliopsida; Poales; Poaceae. The record is from RNAcentral.